CCAAUAGCGUAUAUUAAAGUUGUUGCAGUUAAAAAGCUCGUAGUUGAAUUUCGAGACCGGUUUACUGGUCGUGCUUUUGUACGUACUGGUAUUAUUGGUUUCUCCUUUCUGACGAAUCAUAAUGCCAUUAAUUUGGUGUUUUGGGGAAUCAGGACUGUUACUUUGAAAAAAUUAGAGUGUUUAAAGCAGGCCCACGCUUGAAUACAUUAGCAUGGAAUAACGAAAUAGGACGUUUGAUUUUAUUUUGUUGGUUUCUAGGAUCGACGUAAUGAUUAAUAGGGAUAGUUGGGGGCAUUAGUAUUCAAUUGUCAGAGGUGAAAUUCUUGGAUUUAUUGAAGACUAACUACUGCGAAAGCAUUUGCCAAGGAUGUUUUCAUUAAUCAAGAACGAAAGUUAGGGGAUCGAAGACGAUCAGAUACCGUCGUAGUCUUAACCAUAAACUAUGCCGACUAGGGAUCGGAUGAUGUUAAUUUUUUAAUGACUCAUUCGGCGCCUUACG
Molecule: ribosomal RNA, 499 nt
Filed under: uncultured Glomeromycotina
Lineage: Eukaryota; Fungi; Glomeromycota
Description: partial small subunit ribosomal RNA
Rfam family: Eukaryotic small subunit ribosomal RNA
Source: RNAcentral